UUCGUCUUGUUGAAACUGUGUGUGUGUAGGCCUAAAAAGAUUUUCUUCUUGUAUUCUUCUUCCUUUUUAAGGGGUGGUGGGGGUGGGUGCCGGAUGUAGGCCGCCAAGUGAGAAACAACUUAUUAUUCUCUAGCGACUUCCUAAUCGGACCAUCAAUCUACACAUCUGUCGGCUCUUAACAGCAAUCGAGUCGAGUCACUCUUGGCUCAUUUUCCCCAUCGAUUAAUACGCUUCAGACACCUGGAAGCUGAACUGCUGCUGCCGGCUGCUUGCUCUGCUGCUUCUUCUUUUUCUUCUCCUCCUGUCAAUUUCUGUACACGCCACACACUCGAGGAGGCACUAACAGCAACGGGGAAAAAAAAAGAGAAACAAGAUGGUAUCGCGCUGACGAAAACGAAUUGGAAAUCAUUCGGGGCCCCUUGUGCUGGUGCUACUUCUACCACCCGGCCAGAGGAAGCUGUCGGGGCAGUUGUGGAAGAAAGAAGAAGAAUAAUCCUGCCACAAAGGGGAAUAGAAAAGAAUAGUCCCGAGUAUGACAAGGGACAAGACGACCGAGAGUGUUCCCUCAGCCGUACUACUCACUCGACAACAACGAGAAGAAAACGUCAUAAUUUAUCUACGUGUCUCUCUCCGAACCCGUAAAGGUCUUUUUUUUUUUUGAAAGAAUUUUGAAUAAUGCAUUAAUAAUAAUUUCUUUUUUUUUUCUUCUUUCCCCUACUGCACGAUAAUGUCGGAAACUGUUUGCUGGUCGGGGACAAAACCAGAAGAAGAAGGGGGGGGGGGACAAGAUGUAAUGCUAUUACAUUUGAAACUGAAUAACCUAAAAAAGGGAAAUAGGGAAAAAACAGCGUCUCUUAUCUUUUUGGAAUGCGUCCUAUUGAGCGCCUCUUGUCCAAUCCUCUAUCAUAAAACUAUACGAGACCUAGGCGCCCGAUCAUCACCGCGGAUGUCUGGCGUCCAACGCAGGCGACGAAUCUCUCCACCACAAUCAGGACAACACAAAAAUGUCGCAGGCCUACCAUAUAAUCUAAAAACUUGCAUCUACCCCCCACCAUCACCACCAGGCCUAUUCUUCUUCAGUUUGAACGUGUGAACAUAACUCCUUUUCUAGGAUCUUGGUGUCCCGAUUCUUUUUUUUUUUUCUUGGAGGGAGAAUGUUGGGCGAGAUGUACAUCUUGGACGUUCCAUUUUGUGUGUGUUGUUUCCAUUUUUACGAUGUCCUGGAAUGGCAACAAUAGCGGGAAAUUCAAUUUGUCUGAUAAUGCCGAAACGAACUGUCCAUUUCGCCGACAUUUUUUACACACAAUAGGACGAAACAAUUCUCCUUUUUAUUUUUUUCAAAUCCGAGUAGAAGCAAUCGAAAUUGAAGUGAGCGACCAAAGUACUGGGAUUAAAUGCUAUAGAUAUAUAAAACCCCCGAGUGAUGUAUAAAUCCUUAUAUACCUUUUCUUUCUUUUUUAAAUCUGUUUGUACCCAGUAGAAAAGGAGAGAAGAUCCUACAGGAAAGAAAAUGGGAUUUUCAGGUCCUGGGAUUUGUGUGCAAUGAAGAAAAGAUUGGCGGCGGCCCUUUUCUUUUUUCUUUCUUUUUCCAAAAGUCAAAUAGAAACGGGCGGUCAAUUCUCUCAAGAAGGAAAAAGAAUUACAGCGCGCGGUAUUUCUUGAUGAAACGGAAUUUAGUAGCUCCCACGCACGACGGGCACGUGUACGACGUACCGAUGGAUGGCUAACUUACAAUAGAAGACCUUUGAUUCCCAUCCACCGCUAUAGGACUUUUUUUUUUCUAUCAUGAAUUAUGGAUUGAGCCGUAUGCGCUUUAUUUGAAAUUGGCGGCACCGUGUGGGAGGAGAGCAAUAAAUGUGAGAAGAAGGAGGGGAUCAUUUCCCUAUCGCCUCCGUGUGAGCGUGUGUCUGAUCCACCCCUGGAUUAUUCCGAAUCAUUUAUUUAUUAGAUUGCCUUUCGUUACUUUUUUUUUCUUUUUCCCCUCCUCGUUGUAUAGUCAAAAGCCUGUGGGUGUUGCUUUAGCUCCUUCGUCUUGACUUUUAUUAAGUUCUUUGGUUGGUUUGUUUGUAUUCUUCUUUUUCUUUUAUCCUUUUGUAUUUUCGCAGGCACUUGAUCAUCAAAGAUUCAGCCAGGAUCGACGACUGUACCGAACGGCUGGGUGAUGACAGAAGGCCCAUCCAUCUAAUCCCCCAAGCAUUUCGAAAUUUUUUUUUUCGGGGUUCCUUUUGGGCGGAUGAUGACACCGGAACGCGCGCUCACUUGGGGAACCCCGUGAAGAUGUGAGCUGCUGCACGAACUUGUGUGUCCCAGUCAGGGUUCCAUGACGAAUGAAAUUUCCUCCUCUGAAUCCCUCGACUACCACAUCAUCAUCCCUGCAGGGUGUCGAUCGUCGACUCUCUCUUCCGUUUUUUUUUUCUGUUUAGGUUUAUCCAAUAUCAACAUGGAAUAUUACACACACGAACAAAAAAAAUAAAAGGGGAGAAGCUCAAAAGGUAUUGUUUGAUUUUCUCUUUUGUGUUUUGUUUGUUAUUUCUUUUUCUGGGGCCGGGUGGAAUCGAUCAAUUAACAAGUCAGAGAGUGGCAAGUGGCAGACAGCAUCAAGGGUGUAUACGCAUAUACAGCAUACCGCGCUGCUACAAAGGGGGAAUCGAUCCAUUCUGACGAUUCCAUAUUCAACGAUGUUUGUACAAUGACAGCUGAUAGUAUACCUGCACCGUCUUUAGUUUGAUGCCAACAUAAUCAAAAGAGUCCAAUAACAAGGUAAAAGAAGAAUUUUUUCAUUUAUACUAUCUUCUAUCCAGCAACUCUUUAGAUGAAUGGAAUUAUUUGCGCUUCAAUCAACAUUGUCCCAUUGAUGGAUUCAUUUGAUCACAUCCAUCCAAGAACAGUCCUUACUCCCUCUCUCUUCUAGUCUUCUUCUUCUUGUUCUCUACAUCGGGCACCGAACCGAAAUCCACAAAGGUAUAAAUGGAUUUAUUUCCAUCGCUCUCGCCCACUCUCUCACACUCGGUUCGCUAUGGCUGGCGUGUGAGUAUAUGUGUCGCUUAUAUUUGUAUUAUUAGCUCCUUCCGGUACGACGGACGUCAUCACCAGGCGUGCGUGAGUUUCUACCACUCUUCAUUCUCUCUCUCUCUUCAACAUAUAUUAUAUAGGCUUUCGCUAAUUCUCUUUUGUGGAGACUAGCAUGAAAGACCACCCUAGCUAUCGUUUGGUUAGGUUUCCUUUUGUUUUUAUUUCGUCCACGGUUGGUAUAUCGAUUUAAAAAAAAAAUUCACCUCCUACUUCAGACUUGUAGCCCCCCGAUGCCCUAAAGUUCAAGUUCAAUGAAUGCGUCAAAGCCUUUUGAAUAAUACUCCCCUCGUUGUCGAUAAACUUUUCGAGGGUGUACACCAAGGGGAAUUCAAUCAAUGGCAGGUGUUUUUUUUUUCAUCCAUCGAAAUGCGUGGGCCAACUUUGAGAAAUUCUUUUCCUCUUGUCAAGUCUCAAGUUUUUUUUUUCUCUACUUGUGAAUGAAUGGGAAAAAAGGGAGUGCUUCACACGACCAAAUUACGAAAUCAUCUCUCAACAUUUUCUUCGUUUCUCUUUCUUCACGGCAGUCGCGAGUUUUUGACAUCAAGGGCCCCCUAUAGUACUGUACGGAGUUUGAAUAAGAGAAUCGUCUUUUCAUUUCGGCGUGCAGAGUCUCGAAAGGCUGAAAUAUCACCCCAUAUCUUGUUGCUGAUCCUAGAAGGUCUGAGGCUGAGCUUUUGUUGCCGUAAACAGGUCAUUUGCAGGCAUCUUCUUUCUUCUUGCUGCUGAUAAUGCUGGCUCCUUUUUCUCUCUCCCGACUCCUCUCGUGCCUGUCACUAUUUUUUUUCUUUCAGGGAAUGACUGGUAAUUUGUGAUUAGAGAAACCAUCACACUCGACUAGGGCGACGAAGGCGGGUAUUAUAAUUUGAGAAAUGGCCGUGGCUUUGGUUGACGUGGUUGGGGCCCGGCAGUUCGUGACCGUUUUAGCGACCGCUGGGGACAGAUUCGACGGUGACACGUAAUAUUUAUACGCCCAGUGAGCGCGGCUGUUUUCAAAUUCAAACGCUGACGAACGUUUCCGGUCCAGGGCGAAAUCUAGUUGGAUAGAUGAUCAUUUUCUAGUGGGAGGAGAGCGCAAUAACGGGCUGCUGCUGCUGCUGCCCAGUGCGGAUAUGACCAGAUGAAUCAAUUAUCUGCCGCUUGACGUCUUUUCGUUUACUCCCUUUCUGCAGGAUCAAUCCGUGUCCCGAUGGGGGGCAGCAGCAUGCACGGUCAGUCUUCACGUUGAUUUGUUGAGACACGGAAUUAUCUGAAAAGGCUCGAAACAAUUUGUGGGAUACCCACGUUGUCCCCCCUGAUUGCAGCUCUCCUUUCUUUGGGUGGUGGAAGGAGAAACGUCUUGCAACAGGAAAGCAGCUGACUCACAGGGCAACUCUUCUCUGCCGGUGAUAUUUACGGCCGUCAUAACGGUAGCUUAUGGUUUGUUUGGCAUGGUGGAAAAUAUUUGGAAGGAUUUUUCUUCUUCUUUGCUGCCUCCAUCAACCUCUUGAAGGCUUAUAUAUUCCCGACACGAUAUAGCAAGACUAUGAUCGUCAGUUAUUAUCCUCUCCCGGGAUUAUAUUAUUCCUCCGCUUCUUUAGACCUUUUCCUCCUUCUCAAGAUUCUUCUCUCUCUCUUUUUUUCUUUUUCUCUUUUUCUCUUUUUCAUUUACGCUAGAGAGGAGCUUCUUUUAGUCGACACUCAUAAUCUCUGCCUCUAUCCUGCCCAUCUAGACGACGAGGCCUAUGCAAAUCAAGCGGUGGAGAAGUUACGACUUUGAACGGGGCUGAACGCAACCAAGAAGAAGGAGGAAAGAAUGAACGAAUCACCUGGCCCACUUUAUCGAGGCCUGUCAAGACAUUUUUACCCUUGUGGCGUCCGGGUGUCCCUGUCGGCGGUGCGCGCAAGGUGGAAUUUUUUUCUUCUUCUUCUUCUCGCAGGAUCUCAUAGACUAAUGAGGAAUUCUUGUAUACAGGCGAUAACGCCAGAGAGACACACUGCUGUGUGCACACACACACACAGACCCGAACUGUGUGUGUUGUAAAUUGGCUUAUCUGACGUCAGGGUCUAGCGUGACGAGUCGCGGGAGAAGGGGGGGGGGAAUAGUACACCAACACAAACCGAGUAAAAAAAAAUCUGGCCACUAACGAGCACCAACUCUCUCUCUCUCUCUCUUUCUUGCAACACGACCAUCUGAAUUGAUGCUAUCAAUUCAUUUUUUUCUUUCUUUUCUCUAUUGUUUUCGGCCAGGUCAUGGCGUGUAAAUCAAUCAAUUAGCACAAGGUCCAAGAGCGAAUAUUCUUAAAGUGAGAUUGAAGAUUAGAAAAUGUGUUAUUUCACCAGCCGAGAGAAAUUGCGUCUGUUUGGAAUCGAACUCGGAAUCUUACGGAGCUCAACAGGGAGCACGACAUUAAAGUACUCGAUCAAUUACACACUCCACAACUAGUCAGGCCUCUUAUGCUGGCCGUCGGGGGAUUUAGUUUUUUCUUUUUGGUGGGUGUGUUUAAUUAGCUGCUCAUUUUGCCGUACGGUUCAACUGCAGAGGCCUUUAUGGUCAUCAAUCUUGGACUGGACGUCACCGUCCAGUAGUGGCUUGUAUAAAAAUGAAAACACAAACGUUCGCCAACGGCUAGCUGUGACUCUAUUUUCGACUCGGAUUAAUAUCACAGCGUAAAAGAAAUGGGAAGAAAAGGGCUUUUACGUUAGAUACAUAUUUGAAUGCUCUGAACUGAUGAAAUAACCCGUUGUGAUGGAAAGCGUGAAACGCCGCGGCGCCCGGCCCCGACGGAUUUUCACGCUGCUCUGCUGACACGAGAUCGAGUCGAGCCGAGCCCGCGCCUGUUUGUUUCAGCAACCUGGGCGUUUAACCCUCUUAACUAAAUUUCGUCUAGACUCUUAUGUAUUUGACUCGGAGGAUGGAAGCCUUAUUCGUCUUGCCCGUGGAUUCACGACAAUCAAGGAAACCUGCUGCUAAACAGGUUUUUUCUUUCUCUUUUUUUUUUUGUAAUAGUAUUAUCUUUUUUCUUCUCUUCUUUCGUUGUUGUUUAUAACCUCUGGUGUAAUGCCGUUGUCGUUAACCAUAGCCUUGCAACUAAAUAAAUCAAAGUGGGAGGACUCUUGAAUCUUGAUGCUGGGGUGGCGCGGGUCGGUCGGCCGGCUUUUGUACCGUUUCCUUUUAGUUACGCUCUUUAGCAUUGUUUUGCGAUUCCCAGACAAUAAUUCGUAUAAUAAUGUGAACGAGAGAGGAGGCCGAACGAAUCUUUGUUUCUUAUUACAUGGUCAUGGGGCAGAGAUGAUUCCUUUCUUCUGAUUGCGAUGAAUGGAUGGCCUCAAGCUGGCGCAUCGUAUUGAGUUGCUAUGCUUGUCUCCGGGUGAUGGGUGGUUCCGCCGGAGAAGGAUUGUAGAAAGGAGAACUGGGCGAUUACUUAUCAACCUGGGCGACACGCGAAUUGUCAAUUGCCAGGAAAGGAGUUAUUAUCACAAGGUUUUCUUUUUACAUUUGCCACCGGGUUAUCAACACUUCUUGCUGGCUCGUGCCUCGAUGGUCUUAUUCUGCGUUGUUAUAAUAGGUAUUUUACAAUCCCUAAGCGUUAAUAUAAAUGUUGUUAUAAAAAGGUUGAUUUCUAAGGCUCACUACGAUCCAUUGUUUUUAGUUGUUCCACUCUUUGAUUAACUUAAAAACUUAAAAAUGAAAGAUUUUAGAAUAAACAGUUUACAUGACGUUUUUAAACAAACAAUAAUUCAUGAAUUUAAUUUAGAUGUGUGUUUAAUUUAAACGUGGUUGAC
RNAcentral lists this long non-coding RNA (6834 nucleotides) under Daphnia pulicaria. RNAcentral describes it as "uncharacterized LOC124338042, transcript variant X3". Lineage: Eukaryota; Metazoa; Arthropoda; Branchiopoda; Diplostraca; Daphniidae. The record is from RNAcentral.